This 597-nucleotide long non-coding RNA is filed under the name Betta splendens (Siamese fighting fish). RNAcentral's name for it is "lncRNA (ENSBSLG00000006636.1)". The record is from RNAcentral. Lineage: Eukaryota; Metazoa; Chordata; Actinopteri; Anabantiformes; Osphronemidae.
AUGAAGGCAGCGAGGGAAGAGGAGGUCGGCAGGUUGGAGUAUGAUGGGGUGCAGGCCUGGGACGACACCCCCACAGGAUUAGGGCGAGCACGUUAUGCCAGGCCUCAGAACCAUGGGGGUCGAUCUGAAACCUUAAGUUACGACACGAGAAUAAACACAUUUCGAUAUAAGCAAACGAAGCGCCGACACCCCGGAGUAGAUUCUGAGCAUACCAAGGAAGAGAUGCCUUUGAAAAGACAGAUGUUCCCGGCUUCAACCUGCCUCCUGCCCAAACCUCUGCCCUCCUUCCAUUGUAUAUUUAUUCUCGCUCUAUAAAUAACUGACUGGUAAUGCGCAGGGGAAAAAAAAAAUGGAACUGAUGCGCAGCUGACCUCCGUGAGCCUCUCAUCUCUGCAAGUUUGGAAACGCUGGAGAGGAGUUAGUUGAUACAGUCACGGCAGAAGGAUUUGGCCGAGGGGACGCGAGGAGCUGGGCCGCUUUUGUCCACAUAAGGACUAGUCUAGAUGUCUGGACUGGCUCAGAUGACUUAUGUAACAGCAGAAUGAGGUCCUGGUUGAUGAGGAGCACCACUAAUCAAAUAUAUACUGGUUAUAUUCU